UGAACGCUAGCUACAGGCUUAACACAUGCAAGUCGAGGGGCAGCAUUUUAGUUUGCUUGCAAACUGAAGAUGGCGACCGGCGCACGGGUGAGUAACACGUAUCCAACCUGCCGAUAACUCCGGGAUAGCCUUUCGAAAGAAAGAUUAAUACCGGAUAGCAUACGAAUAUCGCAUGAUAUUUUUAUUAAAGAAUUUCGGUUAUCGAUGGGGAUGCGUUCCAUUAGUUUGUUGGCGGGGUAACGGCCCACCAAGACUACGAUGGAUAGGGGUUCUGAGAGGAAGGUCCCCCACAUUGGAACUGAGACACGGUCCAAACUCCUACGGGAGGCAGCAGUGAGGAAUAUUGGUCAAUGGGCGCGAGCCUGAACCAGCCAAGUAGCGUGAAGGAUGAAGGCUCUAUGGGUCGUAAACUUCUUUUAUAUGGGAAUAAAGUUUUCCACGUGUGGAAUUUUGUAUGUACCAUAUGAAUAAGGAUCGGCUAACUCCGUGCCAGCAGCCGCGGUAAUACGGAGGAUCCGAGCGUUAUCCGGAUUUAUUGGGUUUAAAGGGAGCGUAGGUGGAUUGUUAAGUCAGUUGUGAAAGUUUGCGGCUCAACCGUAAAAUUGCAGUUGAAACUGGCAGUCUUGAGUACAGUAGAGGUGGGCGGAAUUCGUGGUGUAGCGGUGAAAUGCUUAGAUAUCACGAAGAACUCCGAUUGCGAAGGCAGCUCACUAGACUGUCACUGACACUGAUGCUCGAAAGUGUGGGUAUCAAACAGGAUUAGAUACCCUGGUAGUCCACACAGUAAACGAUGAAUACUCGCUGUUUGCGAUAUACAGUAAGCGGCCAAGCGAAAGCAUUAAGUAUUCCACCUGGGGAGUACGCCGGCAACGGUGAAACUCAAAGGAAUUGACGGGGGCCCGCACAAGCGGAGGAACAUGUGGUUUAAUUCGAUGAUACGCGAGGAACCUUACCCGGGCUUAAAUUGCAACAGAAUAUAUUGGAAACAGUAUAGCCGUAAGGCUGUUGUGAAGGUGCUGCAUGGUUGUCGUCAGCUCGUGCCGUGAGGUGUCGGCUUAAGUGCCAUAACGAGCGCAACCCUUAUCUUUAGUUACUAACAGGUCAUGCUGAGGACUCUAGAGAGACUGCCGUCGUAAGAUGUGAGGAAGGUGGGGAUGACGUCAAAUCAGCACGGCCCUUACGUCCGGGGCUACACACGUGUUACAAUGGGGGGUACAGAAGGCGGCUACCUGGUGACAGGAUGCUAAUCCCAAAAACCUCUCUCAGUUCGGAUCGAAGUCUGCAACCCGACUUCGUGAAGCUGGAUUCGCUAGUAAUCGCGCAUCAGCCAUGGCGCGGUGAAUACGUUCCCGGGCCUUGUACACACCGCCCGUCAAGCCAUGAAAGCCGGGGGUACCUGAAGCACGUAACCGCAAGGAGCGUCCUAGGGUAAAACUGAU
This 1439-nucleotide ribosomal RNA is filed under the name uncultured organism. RNAcentral's name for it is "SSU rRNA". It matches the Rfam family "Bacterial small subunit ribosomal RNA". The record is from RNAcentral.